AUGUUACUCCCUCAGUUCCAUAAUUCUUGUCGAAAUAUUACAUGUAUCUAAACACUUUUUAAAAAUAGAUACAUUCAUUUUUAACCAAAUUUGAGACAAGAAUUAUGGAACGGAAGGAGUACCAU
This is a non-coding RNA of Brachypodium distachyon (stiff brome), 125 nucleotides long. The record is from Rfam. NCBI's taxonomy places the organism in Eukaryota, Viridiplantae, Streptophyta, Magnoliopsida, Poales, Poaceae.